GAUGAAACGCUAGCUACAGGCUUAACACAUGCAAGUCGAGGGGCAGCAUGGUCUUAGCUUGCUAAGGCCGAUGGCGACCGGCGCACGGGUGAGUAAACACGUAUCCAACCUGCCGUCUACUCUUGGACAGCCUUCUGAAAGGAAGAUUAAUACAAGAUGGCAUCAUGAGUUCACAUGUUCACAUGAUUAAAGGUAUUCCGGUAGACGAUGGGGAUGCGUUCCAUUAGAUAGUAGGCGGGGUAACGGCCCACCUAGUCUUCGAUGGAUAGGGGUUCUGAGAGGAAGGUCCCCCACAUUGGAACUGAGACACGGUCCAAACUCCUACGGGAGGCAGCAGUGAGGAAUAUUGGUCAAUGGGCGAGAGCCUGAACCAGCCAAGUAGCGUGAAAGGAUGGACUGGCCCUAUGGGUUGUAAACUUUCUUUUAUAAAAGGAAUAAAGUCGGGUAUGGUAUACCCGUUUUGCAUGUACUUUAUGAAAUAAAGGAU
Molecule: ribosomal RNA, 487 nt
Filed under: uncultured bacterium
Lineage: Bacteria
Description: bacterial SSU rRNA
Rfam family: Bacterial small subunit ribosomal RNA
Source: RNAcentral